UACGUAGGGUGCAAGCGUUGUCCGGAAUUAUUGGGCGUAAAGAGCUCGUAGGCGGUUUGUCGCGUCUGCUGUGAAAACGCGAGGCUCAACCUCGCGCCUGCAGUGGGUACGGGCAGACUAGAGUGCGGUAGGGGAGAUUGGAAUUCCUGGUGUAGCGGUGGAAUGCGCAGAUAUCAGGAGGAACACCAAUGGCGAAGGCAGCACUCUGGGACGUGACUGACGCUGAGACGCGAAAGCGUGGGGAGCAAACAGG
Molecule: ribosomal RNA, 253 nt
Filed under: uncultured bacterium
Lineage: Bacteria
Description: partial 16S ribosomal RNA
Rfam family: Bacterial small subunit ribosomal RNA
Source: RNAcentral